AUCUUUCUAGUACAAACAGUAUAAAUGACCUCCAAUCAUUUGAUUUUGGUUACAACCCAAAGAAAGAUA
RNAcentral lists this transfer RNA (69 nucleotides) under Ophisternon infernale. RNAcentral describes it as "tRNA-Gly". Lineage: Eukaryota; Metazoa; Chordata; Actinopteri; Synbranchiformes; Synbranchidae. The record is from RNAcentral.